AGCCAACAGCUUUGCCGUCCUCCCUGGCCGGGAGCAACCAGCUUCACUGCUUUCGCUUUUCUGGGCUUUUAAAAAGUCUCCGUGUGUCCGUCAUCUCCAAUCUGAGGCGUGAUCUGCCUCGUGGCCGACGAGUACGGAUUCGCUCACACUGCCACCCGUGGUGGGCUUUCCCAGUCCUCCCAAGGAAGGGCCGUGAGCACCGUGGUCCCUGGUGGUCAGCGUCUUCCCGAAGCUGGUGACCGUCUGGCUCAUUGUCUAGGUUUCUGUUCCUGCUGCUCCUCUUCCUGGGCCUUCCUCUCGUCCCUUUGCCCUGCAGAUUCUUACUGCAGAAGCAGUGACAGCAUCUGCUUGCAGCAUCUUCAGG
Molecule: long non-coding RNA, 364 nt
Filed under: Ictidomys tridecemlineatus (thirteen-lined ground squirrel)
Lineage: Eukaryota; Metazoa; Chordata; Mammalia; Rodentia; Sciuridae
Description: lncRNA (ENSSTOG00000031434.1)
Source: RNAcentral